Molecule: ribosomal RNA, 206 nt
Filed under: uncultured bacterium
Lineage: Bacteria
Description: partial 16S ribosomal RNA
Rfam family: Bacterial small subunit ribosomal RNA
Source: RNAcentral
CGCGUAGGCGGACCAUUAAGUCAGGGUGAAAUCCCGGGGCUCAACCCCGGAACUGCCUUUGAUACUGGUGGUCUUGAGUUCAAGAGAGGUGAGUGGAAUUCCGAGUGUAGAGGUGAAAUUCGUAGAUAUUCGGAGGAACACCAGUGGCGAAGGCGGCUCACUGGCUCGAUACUGACGCUGAGGUGCGAAAGCGUGGGGAGCAAACA